GAUAAAGAAAUGUACGAUUAGGAUGAUGUGGGCUCCCUAGCGUUGAGUGAGUUGUUGGUUGAAUAUUAUAAUCUAACGGGUGGAAAUAGUCAAAGAGUUAAAUCUAACGGCGGAAAACUUGGUAGCACCAAAUGUUUGGUGCUAUCGAUAGUAUCCCAACUGGACUAUAUAUAUAUAGAGAGAGAGAGAGAGUCCGUGUGACGCCCCGACUUCCCAGGGGGUCACCCAUCUUAGGACUACUCCCGUCCUAGCACGCUUAACUCUCUUAACCUCUUGGGUCUAGCCACCACCCAAAAUGCUUAAGCCGGGUUAAGAGUUUAGCCCUAUUAUAUCUCAUAUAUAGGACUAUCUGGGGUCUCACAGUCCGGCUACUAUACUAUUGAUAGUACCAAGCCUUUGGUACUAUUGAGUUUUCUACCGUUAGAUCUACCCUUUGAUCAUUUCUACCCGUUAGAUUAUACUAUUAAACCAACCACCCACUCAAUCGUAGGGGACCACUAUCAUUCUAACUGCACAUCCUUUCAUCCAACGGCCAAAAACUCAAUAGUACCAAGGGCUUCGUACUAUUGAUAGUAUAGUAGCAUAAUUCUAUAGAGUCCGGCUACUAUGCUAUUAAUAGCACGAAGCACUUGGUGCUACCAAGUUUUCUGCUGUUAGAUCUACCAUUUUGAUCAUUUUCACCCGUUAGAUCAUACUAUUCAACCAACCACCCAGUCAAUCCUAGGGGGCCCACAUCAUCCUAACUGCACAUCUCUUAAUCCAAU
Molecule: long non-coding RNA, 764 nt
Filed under: Ananas comosus (pineapple)
Lineage: Eukaryota; Viridiplantae; Streptophyta; Magnoliopsida; Poales; Bromeliaceae
Description: long non-coding RNA (ACOM_LNC005802)
Source: RNAcentral